Dama dama (fallow deer) is the source of this 965-nucleotide long non-coding RNA. RefSeq lists it as uncharacterized. The record is from RefSeq and is a predicted model, not a curated record. Lineage: Eukaryota; Metazoa; Chordata; Mammalia; Artiodactyla; Cervidae. The transcript is spliced from 2 exons.
CGCAAAAGGAACCACUGAGGCAUAGAGAGAUGAAGGGUUCAGAAUCAGCAAUUGGUCAGAAGCAGAGUUGAAUUCGAACCCGAGUCUGCCGUCUUCCGAAACGGAAGCUGACCGUUUUCACCCUGUCUCUAGAAGUUUCUUUGAGACCAGUUCUGUGAGCUUCCUUAGGGCAGAGCUCUGUCCCCCUCCCCUCCCCGCCCCGGGAAUUAGUCCCUGGGAAGGGCUUGGGAGACUUGAUGGGGGUGGAGGAAUGGGGCCGUAGGCAAAGGCCAGCGCAAAAGUAAGCAAUGAAGGGAAGAGAGGCAGUCGUAGGGUGGGGGCCGCAUUCUUCUGGCGGGAAAACUAGAAGGUCCUUCUCUGAGGAAGAGCUGAUGCUCUAAUUCCCUACACCUGCCAGGCAGAACAGAGUGAUCUCCUCUACCUGGCAACAAGCAUGGUGUGAGAGCCCCAGCUUUCCAACUGAACCCAGCAAAAGAGGAGCUACACCCAGUUUCGUGUAUCAGUUUCAGGGAAGGACUGUGAUGGGCUCUGCUGAACUGACACGCCUGUGCUUUCACCCCUGAACCUGUUGGCAGAGGAAUAAGGUACUAUACAGGAUAAAUGUACUGUCAUGGGCAGCCCCACCAGAGUCACACGGAAUGAAGAUGGCUAUAUUGCCCAAAGGAAUAGCAGUGCUGGGCAGGCACAACCAAAAUCCAUCCCAGCCCUGCUCCCAUCAGUCAGAAAAAAAAAAAAAUCAGUUAAUAUGUUUUGUUACGUACUCUUCCAGACUUUUUAUAAUGUAUAUACAUAUACCCAUUUCCUCCUAUAGCCCCCAUCUCCAAUGAGCCCUCAUCUUCAAUGAGCGUAUUUCAAGGUACUAAAAAAGUAAGUCAAGGAAAGUCAAAAUAUAUGGAAACAAGAAAAGAAAAAAGUAAAGGAAGUAAUUCCCUUCUCUCUGUAAUUAAAAAAUGACAUAACAGCUC